Molecule: ribosomal RNA, 499 nt
Filed under: uncultured bacterium
Lineage: Bacteria
Description: partial 16S ribosomal RNA
Rfam family: Bacterial small subunit ribosomal RNA
Source: RNAcentral
AUUGAACGCUGGCGGCAGGCCUAACACAUGCAAGUCGAGCGGAUGACGGGAGCUUGCUCCUUGAUUCAGCGGCGGACGGGUGAGUAAUGCCUAGGAAUCUGCCUGGUAGUGGGGGACAACGUUUCGAAAGGAACGCUAAUACCGCAUACGUCCUACGGGAGAAAGCAGGGGAACUUCGGGCCUUGCGCUAUCAGAUGAGCCUAGGUCUGAUUAGCUAGGUGGUGGGGUAAUGGCUCACCACGGCGACAAGCCGUACUGGUCUGAGAGGAUGAUCAGUCACACUGGAACUGAGACACGGUCCAGACUCCUACGGGAGGCAGCAGUGGGGAAUAUUGGACAAUGGGCGAAAGCCUGAUCCAGCCAUGCCGCGUGUGUGAAGAAGGUCUUCGGAUUGUAAAGCACUUUAAGUUGGGAGGAAGGGCAGUAAGCUAAUACCUUGCUGUUCUGACGUUACCGACAGAAUAAGCACCGGCUAACUCUGUGCCAGCAGCCGCCGCGG